AAUCAACGCUGGCGGCGUGCCUAACACAUGCAAGUCGAGCGCGAAAGGGGGAGCAAUCCCCCGAGUAGAGCGGCGAACGGGUGAGUAACGCGUGGGUAAUCUACCUUCGAGUGGGGAACAACAGCUGGAAACAGCUGCUAAUACCGGAUAUGACUGACGGCGUCAUCGUCGUUGGUGGAAAGCCCCGACGGUCAAGGAUGGGCUCGCGGCCUAUCAGCUUGUUGGUGAGGUAACGGCUCACCAAGGCUUCGACGGGUAGCCGGCCUGAGAGGGCGACCGGCCACACUGGGACUGAGAUACGGCCCAGACUCCUACGGGAGGCAGCAGUGGGGAAUCUUGCGCAAUGCGCGAAAGCGUGACGCAGCAACGCCGCGUGGGGGAAGACGGCCUUCGGGUUGUAAACCGCUUUCAGUAGGGACGAAGGUAACCUGACGGUACCUACAGAAGAAGGACCGGCCAACUACGUGC
Molecule: ribosomal RNA, 468 nt
Filed under: uncultured bacterium
Lineage: Bacteria
Description: bacterial SSU rRNA
Rfam family: Bacterial small subunit ribosomal RNA
Source: RNAcentral